UACGUAGGGUGCGAGCGUUGUCCGGAAUUAUUGGGCGUAAAGAGCUCGUAGGCGGUCUGUCGCGUCGGUCGUGAAAACUUGGGGCUUAACCCUGAGCUUGCGGUCGAUACGGGCAUGACUGGAGUUCGGUAGGGGAGACUGGAAUUCCUGGUGUAGCGGUGAAAUGCGCAGAUAUCAGGAAGAACACCGACGGCGAAGGCAGCUCGCUGGGACGGUACUGACGCUGAGGCGCGAAAGCGUGGGGAGCGAACAGG
This 254-nucleotide ribosomal RNA is filed under the name uncultured bacterium. RNAcentral describes it as "partial 16S ribosomal RNA". It matches the Rfam family "Bacterial small subunit ribosomal RNA", at positions 524 to 776 of the family's 1533-position model. The record is from RNAcentral.